RNAcentral lists this ribosomal RNA (427 nucleotides) under uncultured bacterium. Its description in RNAcentral is "partial 16S ribosomal RNA". It matches the Rfam family "Bacterial small subunit ribosomal RNA", at positions 355 to 774 of the family's 1533-position model. The record is from RNAcentral.
UGGGGAAUAUUGGACAAUGGGCGAAAGCCUGAUCCAGCCAUGCCGCGUGUGUGAAGAAGGUCUUCGGAUUGUAAAGCACUUUAAGUUGGGAGGAAGGGCAUUAACCUAAUACGUUAGUGUUUUGACGUUACCGACAGAAUAAGCACCGGCUAACUCUGUGCCAGCAGCCGCGGUAAUACAGAGGGUGCAAGCGUUAAUCGGAAUUACUGGGCGUAAAGCGCGCGUAGGUGGUUUGUUAAGUUGGAUGUGAAAGCCCCGGGCUCAACCUGGGAACUGCAUCCAAAACUGGCAAGCUAGAGUACGGUAGAGGGUGGUGGAAUUUCCUGUGUAGCGAUGAAAUGCGUAGAUAUAGGAAGGAACACCAGUGGCGAAGGCGACCACCUGGACUAAUACUGACACUGAGGUGCGAAAGCGUGGGGAGCAAACA